This 467-nucleotide ribosomal RNA is filed under the name uncultured bacterium. Its description in RNAcentral is "partial 16S ribosomal RNA". It matches the Rfam family "Bacterial small subunit ribosomal RNA", at positions 28 to 507 of the family's 1533-position model. The record is from RNAcentral.
GAUGAACGCUGGCGGCGUGCUUAACACAUGCAAGUCGAACGGAAAGGCCCAAGCUUGCUUGGGUACUCGAGUGGCGAACGGGUGAGUAACACGUGGGUGAUCUGCCCUGCACUUCGGGAUAAGCCUGGGAAACUGGGUCUAAUACCGGAUAGGACCACUUCUUGGAUGUUGUGGUGGAAAGUUUUUUCGGUGUGGGAUGAGCUCGCGGCCUAUCAGCUUGUUGGUGGGGUAAUGGCCUACCAAGGCGUCGACGGGUAGCCGGCCUGAGAGGGUGUACGGCCACAUUGGGACUGAGAUACGGCCCAGACUCCUACGGGAGGCAGCAGUGGGGAAUAUUGCACAAGGGGCGCAAGCCUGAUGCAGCGACGCCGCGUGGGGGAUGACGGCCUUCGGGUUGUAAACUCAUUUCGCUAGGGACGAAGCGUUUUGUGACGGUACCUGGAGAAGAAGCACCGGCUAACUACGUG